This 504-nucleotide ribosomal RNA is filed under the name Triticum aestivum (bread wheat). RNAcentral describes it as "partial small subunit ribosomal RNA". The record is from RNAcentral. Lineage: Eukaryota; Viridiplantae; Streptophyta; Magnoliopsida; Poales; Poaceae.
AUGAAUAUGAUAGUGCAGUGCAAGACGCUGCUGAUCCAUGAUGGUGGUCAGAGGCAGCAGGAGGCGACGGCGAUGACUGAUAUGAUCAAUGACAUCAGGGACACACAGGCAGCUGCGAAGCAUUUCACGGACCAGCCGAUGAACAGGAGAAGCAAAGACGGCAUCUCCUGCAUCGUCAAUGGGCGGCUGCCAACCUGGCACCGCCCAGCUUCCUCUCAUGAGGCGGCACAAGGUGGCGCCCCAACCCCUAGUAGUAAUAGCAGCACGCAGCAGGAGCGGGCGCGCGACCACACACGCGCGGGGAGCGGAGGAGCCGGGGCAGCGGCGUGCGAACGCAGGCGGCAGUGGCCGCGGGAACAGCAGCAGUCGCAGCGCAGCAAGCCACAGCGGGCGGCAACAACAGAAAUACCGCUGAUCGCUCAAAACACUCGAUCGCUGGGGAUCGGGGAGAUCGGGCUGCUGGCCUGCUGCUCCCUGGCGCGCGCCUGCCUGUAUGGGCCAUAG